GUAAAUCGGGGAAAUGAUCUAGAGGAUCUUUACACCAGCCCACCACCCAUUUAACCCCAUCUUCUUCUUCACUUCAACAUAACACCAACAACACGCGACAACAUAAACAUUCAUCAGCUCAACAACAUCGACCUAUAUAAACACAAAAUUCCCAAAGGUCCUUUGCCGCCCAGAGUUCCCUCUCUUUAUACAUCUACAUAUGAUAAGCACAAUUUCUGCACUUCGAUCGUUCUAACAUCUGCGACAUUGCAGUAUCCAUGAUAUUUCCUUUUCUAAAAAUUGUCACAAUUUUGCAAAUUCGUUUAGAGAUUGUGCGAAAUCCAACGUGGAACAUUAUCCUCAAAACUGAUUUUGAAUUAUAAAAUUCAAAAACCCCAAUUAUCCCCAAUAUUGAUUUUUACCCUAAUCAUACGAAUUCGGAUGAUUCGAUACAGCAAAAGCUCAUCCAACAAGAUUCCAGAACUCCUAAAUCCCACAUUUAAAUUUCAUUCUCAAAGACCUAAAAUCAUUCCUAUAUAAACCCUUUUACUCCAUCGUUUGACGAGAAGGUUAAAGACAGUCAACAGUAGAGAACUCCAACUGAGAAAGGGAUUUCGCUAAGACUGAAGAUUCUAGUGUCAAGAAAUGUGAUAAGACUCACUUGAUCUCAAAUUUAUAGGCUAAGGAUUGAGCUUGUUUUUGGUGGUGGUACGAAAAAAAUUAGAAGAAGCUGGAAGGCCUGAUAUUGUUGCUCUGAAAUAGGUGAUACCCCUAUUCCUCUUGUGUUCUAUCUCAAUUUAUCUUCUUGCAUCAUGAUGCUUCUUGUUGUAGCUUUCUUUUUAGUACUAUCUAUGUUCUGAUUGUGAUUUUUCAUUCAUCCGCAGUAGUAGCGCCAAAUUUCACACAUGAGCAUGGGAAUGGACUUAAUACUGUUGGCUCUUUUCGUUUAAAUUAUUUCAGCCUGUGUACUAUUUCAAGGGGUUUAAUUCUAAAGUUUCUUCCUUUGCUAUUUGUGAUUCGUUCAUGUCUUUGCGUUAGUUAGGUUAGUUUGAGCAUUAACAUGAGUUUCAAUCAUGUUUGUCUAAGCUUUACUACUAUUUCUUUUUUCCUCUUAUUAGAAAUAUGUAAGAAUUACCUUUCUGUUGAACGCGUUUGUUUAUAUAACUUUGUUCGUUCUUGUCAUUUUUAGCGAAUGGUAUCGCAAAACUCGUCCUACCACUUGGGCAAUUGCUCACUAUUGUUUUGAUUUACGAGUUAAGACAACUUAAAGUUGUUCGAUUUGAAUGGUUAGAGUUUGUCUCUCUUUGAGCUUGUAUUGCUAAUGCGUCGAUUCAAUAGGUCGAAAAUUUGUUUUUAAGGCUAUCUGUUAAAGAGCAGUGACCCCUUUUUUUUAUUCUUUUUCACAUAUUGAAGGCCAUCUCCUUGUAUGAUCUUUGCUUAUGACUCUUUAUUUUGUUUCAAUCAUUUUCCUUUGUCAACAAAUAAAUCUUUAAUUUUUAGGCGAUUGAAUUCAUCCCUAUCUCUCAGUCUUUCCCCUUUUCUUUUUCCCUUAGAAGCCUCCACUGAAUCAUGAAACACUAUGACCAAGUGUAAGUGAAUCCAUGAAAGAGCCUAGAAUUCUCAUCUUUAAGCUUUUUUGAAAAUCUGAAAAUCACUACGCUAUGAGUGUGAGUUCAAUAAGGCCUUUAAGUUAUUUGUUCGUCCUCUCUUUUUAGUUAUUCUUCUUCGAUGGACUUUGUGUGGUAUUAACUACGAAAUUUGCUUAAUGAUUUCUGAUUUUAACUGUAUUCGUUGGUUCGAGUUAUAAAUGGUUACAUUGUAUUAUUCUUAUAAUAGAUUAAAGGUCCUUGAGGGACCGAUUUGAUUUGUACAUAUUGUAACUUUUCAAGAGAUGAUGAAAUAAGUAAGUUUUAAAUUAUUAUAUGGCAAUUCUUCUUGGAUAUGUUUUUGAUUGAAAGAAGUUGGAUUUAGCUUUUUGAUCAAUCAUUGAUUAUUUUUAUGGAAUGAAAGUUACUUAUUUUGCUCUUUAUGUAUUAAUUAGGUUCUAAUCUUUAUAUCUUUUUCUUUGCAUGUGAAACUUUUCCGCAUUCAAAUGGACUUUCUUCACCUCGCAUUUCUCCAAUGGGUCAACAAG
RNAcentral lists this long non-coding RNA (2113 nucleotides) under Capsicum annuum. RNAcentral's name for it is "long non-coding RNA (CANN_LNC002638)". Lineage: Eukaryota; Viridiplantae; Streptophyta; Magnoliopsida; Solanales; Solanaceae. The record is from RNAcentral.